RNAcentral lists this long non-coding RNA (201 nucleotides) under Elaeis guineensis (African oil palm). Its description in RNAcentral is "long non-coding RNA (EGUI_LNC045369)". The record is from RNAcentral. Lineage: Eukaryota; Viridiplantae; Streptophyta; Magnoliopsida; Arecales; Arecaceae.
GUUGGCAUUGUUGAAGUCCGGUUGGCACUGUUGAAGGUUGAUGGCUGGAGAGGUAUGGAAGACACCAGAGAUAGUCGGUUACUAUAGAAAUUUGACUGCUAAAGCCCGUCCGUUGUAGCAGUUCAUCUAGAAUCCAUCCGCUGUAGAAGUUCGGACGGAGUCUGAUUCUUGUAGGAGUCUGAAAGGAGGCCGCUUACUGUA